UGCUAGAGGUAGGGGCCCGAA
RNAcentral lists this non-coding RNA (21 nucleotides) under Mus musculus (house mouse). The record is from RNAcentral. Lineage: Eukaryota; Metazoa; Chordata; Mammalia; Rodentia; Muridae.